CGUGAGCGGCGGACGGGUGAGUAACGCGUGGGUAACGUUGCCUCAUACAGGGGAGUAACAGUUGGAAACGGCUGCUAAUACCGCAUAAGCGCACAGUACCGCAUGGUACGGUGUGAAAAACUCCGGUGGUAUGAGAUGGACCCGCGUCUGAUUAGGUAGUUGGUGGGGUAACGGCCUACCAAGCCGACGAUCAGUAGCCGACCUGAGAGGGUGACCGGCCACAUUGGGACUGAGACACGGCCCAA
Molecule: ribosomal RNA, 245 nt
Filed under: uncultured bacterium
Lineage: Bacteria
Description: partial 16S ribosomal RNA
Rfam family: Bacterial small subunit ribosomal RNA
Source: RNAcentral